This is a long non-coding RNA of Bactrocera neohumeralis, 1180 nucleotides long. RefSeq lists it as uncharacterized. The record is from RefSeq and is a predicted model, not a curated record. The transcript is spliced from 3 exons. NCBI's taxonomy places the organism in Eukaryota, Metazoa, Arthropoda, Insecta, Diptera, Tephritidae.
CCCAUAUUAUAGGGAACACACCAUAUAAAAAAAUUAAAAUAUCCAGGGGUCGUAUCACUCGUCACGUAAAAGUAUGUAUUUCGUAUUAUGACAUACGUGAUCGCAACGCUUAUAUCGUAAUCUGGCAUGGUGACAUACGUGAGCGAGUAUAUAAACGUAUCCGUUCGUUCGAACCGUCAUUCGAACACAAACUACCGAUCGUAACAGACGAAUUUAUUUAAAAAUGACAAAGUAUAAUAAACUAAAUCCUACUAAAAAAGAUGAAAUGGCGGAAUUCAUGUCAAGCCAUCCAUACUUGGCAAAAAAUAACUUUCCAAAUUCCGCGCAAGGAAGAAUUGCUUCCAAUAAUUUAUGGGAGGAACUGGCGAAGCAGCUUAAUGCCGUGAGGCCACCAGUUAAAGAUGCUAAGUUGUGGAGGAAGGUUUUUGGUGAUCAAAAAUACCAAGCAAAAAAAAAAGCUUUCCUUCAAUAAGGCAUUGAAGCAGCGAACUGGUGGAGGGCCCUAUAACGGAAAACUGAUCACUGUGACGGACGAACUGUUAAUCGAAGCAGCUGGACUCGAAGCUUGCGUAGAGGGCAUAACAAAUGUUUCUGCAUUUGGAAAUAACCCAACUACGCAAGCUUCGACGUUUAUAGUUAACUGUGAUAGUAGUGAUGAGGAGGCAAACCCUUUCCCCAGCUCUUUACCAUGCCCAACAACUUCAACACAGUCGCUACAACAACAACGUCAACAGAAAAAACUCCACGCACACCGAGGAGAAAAAGUAGGAGUGACGAAAAGUUGGAAUUACUUCAACAAAACAUGAAGUCGCUAUCAGUUUUUCAAAAAGGCAUAGACCAGAAGCUUGAGAGGUUAGUAGCAGCACAAGAAAAAAUGCUGGCCCUACAAGAAAAAUUGUUUGCUAUUAAGAUAGAAAAGCACCGCAUCCAACAAUCGACACGACAGUUAGACCACGAAAUAACAAAAUUGGAGCUCGAAACCUUACGAAGAAAAUUAUUAUAAAACUUGGUACUUGAAUGUAUAUAUUUUUAGUUUUAAGCGUUUAAUGAAUUUUUUAAUUUAAUAGAGCUUUAUUUAUUUUUGAAUUUUAAUUAUUUAGUAUUUAAGAAAUGUGAUAAAAGCAACAAACGUGAUGAAACGACUAAUUAAAAUUAAAAUAAUGAAUUUAUGUGAACAAAA